UAAUAUGGAAGCCCAACCACAACCAUUUUCAUUUAACCCAACGUCUUUUUAAUUCUCUCUGCUCAUUUGCUAUUAGUUUAGGGCAACAAAAAAAACUCACUAAUUCUCAUUUUCUCUCUCCUAUGUAUUUCCCUCUCCUUUCUUCCAUUGAUAAUCAAGCAUGGUGGACGGCAUGGAACAUCUCAUAGGUCACCUUUCCCGUGUUCGAAUCCCCAAACCAACCAAUUGCAUCUUCAAAAGAAGAUUGUUGCGUUUCUUUUUGAUGCUCCGGUGAGUUUCUUUUGCAUUUUUGCUGAUUUUUGUUGUUCUCUUUUUUUGUUUCUUAUCGUGAAUUUGAGCAAAUGUGUUGAAUGAUGAUGCUGUUUUUUUUUCUUAUCUCUGUUUCUUGAGCUAUUGAAUAUCGAGUUUCAGUUACUUCCUAAUGACGCAAUUUUAGUAACAUUUGUUUGUUAAUUUCAGUUUUUUUAGAUGAACAUUUGAUUUGCGAGUUGAAUUCUUUAUGGAAUUGUUAAUUUGCGAGUUGAAUUCUUUCAUUCGUGGAGAUUUUAUGGAAUUGUGAUCAUUUAAGUAGUUGAAAUAUGUGUGAUUUUGAUCCUGCAUUUUGUCCAUAAUGUUGUAUUUGUAAUGAUGAUUUGUUUAAUUUUUGAGAAUCUUUUGGAGUGGUUUUGUUGAUUCUUAUACUCUGGACACUUGAAUUAAAUAUCUUGGAUUAAAUUUUGUGGAGUGGUUUUGUGGAGUAGUGAUUAUUUGCUGAUUUCGAAUCAUCAUCAACUUGCUUGUAAUUUUCCAUCUCUGAUUUUUAGUCGUUUGUUGAUGAGAGAUAUGAGAAGGUGAAACUUGAUUACUUGCAAUCAAUAGUCCUAAGUCACCACCACGACAGUAUCACCAACGUAAUGACACUCAUUCACCAGGGCGUGACAAACAACGUCAAAAGUUUUAUGAUUCUCCAUCACCUGAGCAUGAAACGAAGUUAAAGAAUACUAGAUUGUUGUAUCGUUUGAAUGAUUAUAGUGGUCACAUGAUGAUUUAUGUUGGUGACACAAUGGUUAUUGUUGGUCACUUAUUAUUUUUUUACAUUUAGGAAUUCACACAUGUAAUUGGAGUGACAUUUGUUCGUGAUUAUGUUAAUAAAUACAUUUGAUUCUUUCCAUUUCA
Beta vulgaris subsp. vulgaris (sugar beet) is the source of this 1155-nucleotide long non-coding RNA. RefSeq lists it as uncharacterized. The record is from RefSeq and is a predicted model, not a curated record. The transcript has 2 exons. NCBI's taxonomy places the organism in Eukaryota, Viridiplantae, Streptophyta, Magnoliopsida, Caryophyllales, Amaranthaceae.